GGGUGAGUAACGCGUAAAGAACUUGCCUCACAGCUAGGGACAACAUUUAGAAAUGAAUGCUAAUACCUGAUAUUAUGAUUUUAAGGCAUCUUAGAAUUAUGAAAGCUAUAAGCACUGUGAGAGAGCUUUGCGUCCCAUUAGCUAGUUGGAGAGGUAACAGCUCACCAAGGCGAUGAUGGGUAGCCGGCCUGAGAGGGUGAACGGCCACAAGGGGACUGAGACACGGCCCUUACUCCUACGGGAGGCAGCAGUGGGGAAUAUUGGACAAUGGACCGAGAGUCUGAUCCAGCAAUUCUGUGUGCACGAUGAAGUUUUUCGGAAUGUAAAGUGCUUUCAGUUGGGAAGAAAAAAAUGACGGUACCAACAGAAGAAGUGACGGCUAAAUACGUGCCAGCAGCCGCGGUAAUACGUAUGUCACGAGCGUUAUCCGGAUUUAUUGGGCGUAAAGCGCGUCUAGGUGGUUAUGUAAGUCUGAUGUGAAAAUGCAGGGCUCAACUCUGUAUUGCGUUGGAAACUGUAUAACUAGAGUACUGGAGAGGUAAGCGGAACUACAAGUGUAGAGGUGAAAUUCGUAGA
Molecule: ribosomal RNA, 576 nt
Filed under: uncultured Fusobacteriota bacterium
Lineage: Bacteria; Fusobacteriati; Fusobacteriota
Description: bacterial SSU rRNA
Rfam family: Bacterial small subunit ribosomal RNA
Source: RNAcentral